Molecule: long non-coding RNA, 594 nt
Organism: Mauremys mutica (yellowpond turtle)
Lineage: Eukaryota; Metazoa; Chordata; Testudines; Geoemydidae
Exons: 4
Source: RefSeq, a predicted model, not a curated record
UUUACUAUGCUGCUACAGAAAGGGGGCAAGCAGGCUUACCAUCUUCUAGAAGAUUCCUUUCAGGGACUGGAUGGAGGGGAACAAGGGGUUUCUCAGGAAGCUUCAAAGAGCAGAAAUGCAAGUCACAGGAAGUCCCAAGAAAAAUGGAGAAGGAAAUUGGAGUCGGUAGUUGAGCCUGUUGAGAGAGUUUGUUGCUGUUUAGAGGAAGGAGAGGGGUGAAAUGGAGCUGUAUCUCAGGAAACCCUGUGGUCAAAUUGCCUCAAAUUUGGAUCACUGACAGUAUCCUAGUUCCAUAAGGCACACCAAAUUUCAAGAACCCCAAAGGAAGGACUUUUGAUAGUUUUAUGUCUGCAGCAACCUGCGUCAUACCCAGAUGAAUUCAGCAACAGAUAAGUUCCUCUUCUGCCUGAAACUUUACUCAGUUUACACUGAAAUAUGGAAUGAAAGUUUGAAGUGAUCUAUGUGGUCCAAUAGCCAAGAUUGGAGAAACAGAAUCUUUUAAAAUAGGAAAUCAGACAUACCUACAGAAAAGGAUUGCAUAAGGAAAGGAUUGAAAAACUUUAUGCAAAAUUAGGGCUUAUAAAGUGCUCUGGA